GCCGAGGUAGCUCAGUUGGUAGAGCACGCGACUGAAAAUCGCGGUGUCGGCAGUUCAAAUCUGCCCCUCGGCACCA
This 76-nucleotide transfer RNA is filed under the name Chloroflexota bacterium. RNAcentral describes it as "Chloroflexi bacterium tRNA-Phe". It matches the Rfam family "tRNA". Rfam says of the family: Transfer RNA (tRNA) molecules are approximately 80 nucleotides in length. Lineage: Bacteria; Bacillati; Chloroflexota. The record is from RNAcentral.